Molecule: ribosomal RNA, 1530 nt
Filed under: human metagenome
Description: bacterial LSU rRNA
Rfam family: Bacterial large subunit ribosomal RNA
Source: RNAcentral
AAUCGAACCCGGAGAUAGCUGGUUCUCCUCGAAAUAGCUUUAGGGCUAGCCUCAUACAAGUCUUGCGGAGGUAGAGCACUGAAUUUCCUAGGGGGCGUCAAAGCUUACCGAAGAAUAUCAAACUCCGAAUGCCGUGUAGAUGUUGUAUGGGAGUCAGACUGUACGAGAUAAGUUGGACAGUCAAAAGGGAAAGAGCCCAGACCUUCAGUUAAGGUCCCAAAGUGUGCGUUAAGUGGAAAAGGAUGUGGGAUUUCGAAGACAACCAGGAUGUUGGCUCAGAAGCAGCCAUACAUUCAAAGAGUGCGUAACAGCUCACUGGUCGAGAGGUCCUGCGCCGAAAAUGUCCGGGGCUGAAACACCACACCGAAGCCGCGGAACCCGUAAGGGUUGGUAGAGGAGCAUUCUUAGGGGAGCGAAGCAUUACCGGAAGGGGAUGUGGACCGCUAAGAAGAGAGAAUGCCGGAAUGAGUAGCGAGAGCAAGGUGGGAAUCCUUGCGGCCGAAUAUCCAAGGUUUCCAGAGUAAAGCUGAUCUGCUCUGGGUAAGUCGGGGCCUAAGGAGAGGCAGAGAUGCGUAUCCGAUGGACAGCAGGUUUAAGAUUCCUGCACCCCUUGUUAUCAGAACUGCGGGGACACGGGAAGGGAAGCAGAGCCGGGAAUGGAAAGCCCGGUGCAAGCGAAGUAGUCGCAGGGUUGGAAAAUCCGCCCUGCAUAAGACGAAGGCGUGAUGCGGAGCGAAAUGAAGUAGUGAAGCUGCGGCCCCUUCCUGUCGAGAAAAGCCGCUAUCGUGUAGCAAGGGCCCGUACCGUAAACCGACACAGGUGGAUGAGGAGAGGAUCCUAAGGCCGGCGGGAGAAGUGUUGUUAAGGAACUCGGCAAAAUGACUCCGUAACUUCGGGAGAAGGAGUGCUGCGCAAGCAGCCGCAGAGAAAUGGCCCAAGCAACUGUUUAGCAAAAACACAGGUCUAUGCGAAACCGAAAGGUGAGGUAUAUGGGCUGACGCCUGCCCGGUGCUGGAAGGUUAAGGGGAGAGGUUAGCGCAAGCGAAGCUUUGAACUUAAGCCCCAGUAAACGGCGGCCGUAACUAUAACGGUCCUAAGGUAGCGAAAUUCCUUGUCGGGUAAGUUCCGACCCGCACGAAAGGCGUAAUGAUUUGAGCGCUGUCUCGACAAUGCAUCCGGUGAAAUUGAAGUACCAGUGAAGAUGCUGGUUACCUGCGCCAGGACGGAAAGACCCCAUGGAGCUUUACUCUAGCUUGAUACUGGGAUUCGAUAUUGCAUGUACAGGAUAGGUGGGAGACUAGGAAGUGGUGACGCCAGUUGCCAUGGAGUCAAUGUUGGGAUACCACCCUUGCAGUAUUGGGUUUCUAACCAGCAGCCGUGAUCCGGCUGGGGGACAAUGUCAGGUGGGGAGUUUGACUGGGGCGGUCGCCUCCGAAAGGGUAUCGGAGGCGCUCAAAGGUUCCCUCAGAAUGGUUGGAAACCAUUCGAAGAGUGCAAAGGCAGAAGGGAGCUUGACUGCGACACCGACGG